This 710-nucleotide ribosomal RNA is filed under the name uncultured bacterium. RNAcentral's name for it is "bacterial SSU rRNA". It matches the Rfam family "Bacterial small subunit ribosomal RNA", at positions 105 to 801 of the family's 1533-position model. The record is from RNAcentral.
GGUGAGUAACACGUGGGUAACCUGCCCUUAAGUGGGGGAUAACAUUUGGAAACAGAUGCUAAUACCGCAUAGAUCCAAGAACCGCAUGGUUCUUGGCUGAAAGAUGGCGUAAGCUAUCGCUNNUGGAUGGACCCGCGGCGUAUUAGCUAGUUGGUGAGGUAAUGGCUCACCAAGGCGAUGAUACGUAGCCGAACUGGGAGGUUGAUAGGCCACAUUGGGACUGAGACACGGCCCAAACUCCUACGGGAGGCAGCAGUAGGGAAUCUUCCACAAUGGACGCAAGUCUGAUGGAGCAACGCCGCGUGAGUGAAGAAGGCUUUCGGGUCGUAAAACUCUGUUGUUGGAGAAGAAUGGUCGGCAGAGUAACUGUUGUCGGCGUGACAGUAUCCAACCAGAAAGCCACGGCUAACUACGUGCCAGCAGCCGCGGUAAUACGUAGGUGGCAAGCGUUAUCCGGAUUUAUUGGGCGCAAAGCGAGCGCAGGCGGUUUUUUAAGUCUGAUGUGAAAGCCCUCGGCUUAACCGAGGAAGCGCAUCGGAAACUGGGAAACUUGAGUGCAGAAGAGGACAGUGGAACUCCAUGUGUAGCGGUGAAAUGCGUAGAUAUAUGGAAGAACACCAGUGGCGAANGCGGCUGUCUGGUCUGUAACUGACGCUGANGCUCGAAAGCAUGGGUAGCGAACAGGAUUAGAUACCCUGGUAGUCCAUGCC